RNAcentral lists this ribosomal RNA (309 nucleotides) under uncultured eukaryote. RNAcentral's name for it is "partial 18S ribosomal RNA". It matches the Rfam family "Eukaryotic small subunit ribosomal RNA", at positions 1470 to 1796 of the family's 1831-position model. The record is from RNAcentral.
CCCUUAGAUGUUCUGGGCGGCCCGCGCACUACAAUGGCGUGUGCAGCGAGUGCUGAAGUAGAGUUUUCCGAGGUAUUCUUGCAAUGCUCGUUUUGAUGGGGAUAGACCCUUGCAACUGUUGGUUUUGAACGAGGAAUUCCUUGUAAGCAUGGUUUAUCAUCCGACGCUGAAUGCGUCCCUGCCCUUUGUACACACCGCCCGUCGCUCCUACCGAUGAGUCGUCCGGUGAAGUUCGUAGACCUCGUGAUCGCGGAUCACUGGGGGAAGCAAAAUGAACCUCGCGGUUUAGAGGAAGGAGAAGUCGUAACA